GACGAACGCUGGCGGCGUGCUUAACACAUGCAAGUCGAGCGAGGUCCAUGCAGUGGCAACACUGCGGAAGACCUAGCGGCGAACGGGUGAGUAACACGUGAGCAACCUGCCCCGAAGACUGGGAUAACACCGGGAAACCGGUGCUAAUACCGGAUGUCCUUCUCUGGUCGCAUGGCCUAAGAAGGAAAGGAAUUUUGCUUCGGGAGGGGCUCGCGGGCUAUCAGCUUGNGGUGAGGUAACGGCUCACCAAGGCGACGACGGCUAGCUGGUCUGAGAGGACGACCAGCCACACUGGGACUGAGACACGGCCCAGACUCCUACGGGAGGCAGCAGUGGGAAUUUUGGACAAUGGGGGCAACCCUGAUCCAGCCAUGCCGCGUGAGGGAAGAAGG
Molecule: ribosomal RNA, 392 nt
Filed under: uncultured bacterium
Lineage: Bacteria
Description: bacterial SSU rRNA
Rfam family: Bacterial small subunit ribosomal RNA
Source: RNAcentral